RNAcentral lists this ribosomal RNA (487 nucleotides) under uncultured bacterium. Its description in RNAcentral is "bacterial SSU rRNA". It matches the Rfam family "Bacterial small subunit ribosomal RNA", at positions 29 to 508 of the family's 1533-position model. The record is from RNAcentral.
AUUGAACGCUGGCGGCGUGCCUAACACAUGCAAGUCGAGCGGUAACAGGUGUAGCAAUACAUGCUGACGAGCGGCGGACGGGUGAGUAACGCUUGGGAAUCUGCCUGUUAGUGGGGGACAACCCGGGGAAACUCGGGCUAAUACCGCAUACGCACUACGGUGGAAAGCCGGGGACCGCAAGGCCUGGCGCUAACAGAUGAGCCCAAGUCGGAUUAGCUAGUUGGUAGGGUAACGGCCUACCAAGGCGACGAUCCGUAACUGGUCUGAGAGGACGACCAGUCACACCGGAACUGAGACACGGUCCGGACUCCUACGGGAGGCAGCAGUGGGGAAUAUUGGACAAUGGGCGAAAGCCUGAUCCAGCGACGCCGCGUGGGUGAAGAAGGCCUGCGGGUUGUAAAGCCCUUUCGGUGGGGAAGAAAAGCCUCGAGUUAACACCUCGGGGUCUUGACGUAACCCAUAGAAGAAGCACCGGCUAACUCUGUGC